UAUAAGCAGAAGUAUCCCACCCGUGACUUAACUCUUAAGACAGUGUUUUUACCCUUAUUAUGGUAGAGUGGUUCUAUAGGAUAUCUUGUAAUUUUCAAAUAUGGUUUGUUAUAGAAUUAUACAUGCUUCAUGUUCUAUAAUUUAUCUAUUUGUGUGUCCUUUUUCCUUCAUGGGUUACUUACUUCCUCACAGGUCACCUAAUGUCACAAAUUACUUCCAUGUAAGUCUUGUCUACUUUGGAGAGUAUCCUUGUUUAUUGCUAGAUGUUUCCGUAUCACCUUUUCCGUAUAUGUUAUUUAUUGCACUGGCUACCUUCCUGAUGUAACUUGUCCAUAUUGUGCGUGUAUUUCAAGAUAAUUGAUCAUAUGACCACUUCUAUAUAUUUUACAUGCCUCGUAGCCUACUUGAUUAAGCAUUGGACUUAUAGCUUUUCUACCCAUGUGUCAUGUGCUCACUUGCUCAUAUUUCAUAUGUUUACUCAUUGAUAUGUUAGUCCACCUAUCCAUGUGAUAUAACACACUUGCUCAAUGUGAUAUGUGUUCUGUAGUUCAUUUCCCUUUAUGUCUACAUGAAUUAUAGUCUACUUGCGAUAUAUUACAUUUCGUAGCUUUAGUACUCAUGCAUCAUGUGGUCAUCUAGUCUAUUUCCUACAUGUUCCUUAUAGCUCAUUCAUUGACACUCUACCUUAGUUCAUAUGCUGUAUACACCACAUUUUUCUAUAGAUUAAUGCCCAUAAAUUAGGUGCUCUCUUUUUUGUGCUAGUCUGCCUGUGUGUCAUACUCAAUGUAACUUAUUUGUCUGUAUUCUAUGCUACUCUGUGCUUAUUGACUUAGAGUAUUAAAAUUUUUUGAAAAAUGUUUCCUUGUAUCAAGAUGUAGUGAUGACUUUGACUAGAAAACGUUGGACAUAUAUGUAAAUUUUAUCACAAUCUUAGAUAUAUAACUUAGCAUAAUUCCUUAUUAAAAGGUGCAACAUAAAACUUUAGAGUUUACAUUAACAUCUAUGCAUUCUUAUAAGAUUCGCCAUUAAAAAUCAUCAAGAAAAAGAAGAGAAGGGAAAGUAGUGCCUCGAUCGAUUAGGUCUAUGAUUUUAUGUGUCCAUUCCAUAUACAAAGAUUUUGGGAGAUACUAUAGUUUUUCUUGAUUGUUAAGGCUCGGAAACAAAUCUCAAAAUGUAAAAACCUCCAUUAAAGUAUUGUGGAUGGAAUGUAAUAUAGCAUAAGAUUCUUGCAAUAAAAGAUUGCAGGAGAUCCUAAAUACCCCUCUUCAUCCUAAACAUCAACAUAAGGAUCUGAGAUCAUGUGGUCCCCUUGUAUAAUCAUAAAUCCAACUAGCAUUUGCUCAUUUGAUGUGUCAUUUGCAUGUCUUGUGUUUAGGUAUAUUAAAGUCCUUCUUUGUAUGAGUUCUAAUUAGGUAUUCAAUGAAUUACAUGGUGAGGAAAGGGGGUUUAAUUUUUCAUAUUAUCAUUUUACCAUAUCCAUGGAGACUUAAUGCUAGACACAUAUGUGUUUAGUGUAUGGAUUUUUGAUAGUCCUAUUAAUAUUGUAAAUCUCACAAAUCUCCAAAUGAAAUUACAAGAUUAACCAAACUAUCAAAGACACCCAUCAUUUGAAGACGAAUGAUCAUAAGGGGGGAGGCUGUAACAUCCUAUAUUCUAUGUGUACUUGUUUAAUUUAUACAAUGCUUAUCAAUUGCCUUGUGGUAUAGUUAUAAAGUCAUUUUUCUAUGCGACUAGUUAAAAUAUAAUAGGUUCAAUGUGAACAUCCCAUAGAUUAAGUUGACGUCGAUGACGUAUUUAUACUUUAAAUCAUAAGGUGGUAGUUCAGUCUAGAAUAGAAAAUUGACAUAGUGUAUAUAACUUUUAAGUUAAGUUAAAGGUAUUAAGGUCUAUAAAUUAAAUAUUUAGGUGCAUGCUUGACUUCACUUAGCUAGUAGGUGAUGAGUAUGUGCAUCACUUACUUUGACUUAUUGACCAGCAAAAGGACCAUGUAGGUGCAUCACCUACUAAGACUCUUUUGACCAUGUUUAUGGGACAAGUAAACAACCUAUAUAUGGCCCAAAAUUAAUAGAAAAAUAAGGGGAAAAUGGACAUCCAAGGCCCAAUCUUUCAAAGCCCACAAGAAAUAAUUUGAAUGGAAAAGUAGAUGCAUCACCUACUUAAAUGUGUGGCCUAAAUCAGGGACACAUGUUGGCUUCAAUGAACUACAAGAAAGAUGGCAAAAGAGAACUUACUAAUGUAAAAAAUCUAAUACAACUAUCACAUUUUCCUCUAAUCCAAAUUUCACGCUCUCAAAGUCAUAUAUUUCUCUCUUUCAAGACGACGCAACCACCCAAUUUUCCCCUAGGGUUCUAACUAUUUUUCACCUUGUUUCUUCCAAAGCAGCAACAAGAUCACCUUAUCUCCUCUAUUGUUUCAAGUAUAUUGGACAAUUCAUUAAAGGGAGUGAACUAGAGAUAGAUACUAUAUGUAUUGAAAGUCAAGGUUCUGCCACUCUCUUUCAAAGAUUAAGAGAAGGUUACAAAAACAGUAAUUGAAGGAGAAUAACGGAUUUAUAUAGUAAAGAUGAAGACAAUGACGUUAAAGGAAAGGAUGACACUUCGAAAGCUUUACGAAUUGGCAAUUAAGGUAUAAGAACUCAUCUAGUAGAUCUCCCCAAUAAAAACACAAAAUGCUUAGCGGUUGUUGGUGAUCUCUAGGUUGAUUCAGGGCUUUGUUGAGUCUUUAUUAUUUGUAGUCAUAGUGGUACAAUCAUGGAUACUAAUAGAGUCUUUGUAGACAUUUUAUAGCUAUCAUCUCUAUUUAUAGUUUCACUUGUCACGUGUAUCGGUUCAGCUAGCACAAAUGUGUUGUAUAUGAAGUUUCUCAUUAUUAAAAAUAUUAGUAUAGUAGUAGUUUACCUUCUAAUCAUA
Non-coding RNA from Solanum lycopersicum (tomato), 2909 nucleotides. Lineage: Eukaryota; Viridiplantae; Streptophyta; Magnoliopsida; Solanales; Solanaceae. The record is from RefSeq and is a predicted model, not a curated record.